This 488-nucleotide ribosomal RNA is filed under the name uncultured Sphingobacteriales bacterium. Its description in RNAcentral is "bacterial SSU rRNA". It matches the Rfam family "Bacterial small subunit ribosomal RNA", at positions 904 to 1382 of the family's 1533-position model. The record is from RNAcentral. Lineage: Bacteria; Pseudomonadati; Bacteroidota; Sphingobacteriia; Sphingobacteriales.
GCCGCUCAGAACUAAGGAAUUGACGGGGCCGCACAAGCGGAGGAGCAUGUGGUUAAUUCGAUGAUACGCGAGGAACCUUACCUGGGCUCGAACGUAAGAUGACUGUAGGUGAAAGCUUACAUCUCUUCGGAGCAUUUUACGAGGUGCUGCAUGGUUGUCGUCAGCUCGUGCCGUGAGGUGUCGGGUUAAGUCCCAUAACGAGCGCAACCCCUACCUUUAGUUGCCAUCAGGUUAAGCUGGGGACUCUAAAGGAACUGCCUACGCAAGUAGUGAGGAAGGCGGGGAUGACGUCAAAUCAGCACGGCCCUUACGUCCAGGGCUACACACGUGCUACAAUGGCCGAUACAGAGGGCAGCUACCUGGUGACAGGAUGCAAAUCUCCAAAGUCGGUCUCAGUUCGGAUCGGAGUCUGCAACCCGACUCCGUGAAGUUGGACUCGCUAGUAAUCGCGCAUCAGCCAUGGCGCGGUGAAUACGUUCCCGGGCCUU